UCUUAUGGCCAUACCACCCUGAACACGCCCCAUCUCAUCUGCUCUUGGAAGCUAAGCAGGGCCAGGCCCGGUUAGUGCUUGGAUGGGGGAGAAUUCAUAUCCAGGAAGCCAAUCU
Molecule: ribosomal RNA, 115 nt
Organism: Fukomys damarensis (Damara mole-rat)
Lineage: Eukaryota; Metazoa; Chordata; Mammalia; Rodentia; Bathyergidae
Source: Ensembl